CGACUUAUUGAUUUUUUUUUUUAUUUUUCCUAAAUGUAAGACUAGAGAGAUAGCUACAACAGAGCAGCCAAGCAAGCCAGGAUAGAACUGAGGAUAGUAGCAUUAACAAUGUUGUUGUUAUAGUCUGUCUAUAUUUCUCAUAAAGUACUCUGGUGUAUGCCACUUCUCUAAUCUUUUUGGCAACUGGAAGUAAACCAUCUGAAUUCACCAAGUCACUUUUGUAACCUUGUCGACAGACAAACAACAGACGAGUCAAACACAUGGAAUGCCAUUUCAACCGCUGUUAUUAAGCAGAUAAAUACUGAUGUUGCCGCUACUCCAAGAUCGCCUGUCUGCUAAUCUUGCCACCCUCCUCUGUAUAAUCUGUACUUCCUUUAUGUAAGCGCCGGACUCGCAAGAUGUCCUGUCGGCCACCCAGCCGAUCUCACCAGAAAUUCAGAAAAGCAUCACUACAUGUUGCUCGCACACCCGGCAUGCCUGCAUUCUCCUGCAAUUUGCAGACAUUUACUAGCAUCCACAAGUGGUCGAUCGAUCACACACUCUUGCUUCAGUUCAGAGUUACAGCUAGCUUACAACAUGUAAAUGUAUAUUACCCAAAGAUUCAUCAAUUCAAGAGGAUUCCUGAGCUGAAUAUACGCAUAUGCAAUAUGCCCUAUGCUUCCAUGAUGAGCAGCACGAGAGGAACAUGAAAGGGGAGCACAGGCACGCAUCCGCAAGCACAUGUUUCCCCAUGGAGCUACACAUCUCGCUGUGGAUUCAAUUGCAAGUUGGCAAAAAUAUUCUUCUGGUCUUUACGAGGUGAUCGGGAGAUCAGUUUGUGGUGGUGAUGGAAGAAAGCCCCGGAGAUGAGGAGGUUAAAUAUGUAGGUGAAGGGAGCAAAAACCUAGUUUGGAGCAUGCAUGGAGCCAAGCCAAAAGGGCCAAGCUAGGGGGGCCAUCUAUAUCACUGGAAGAGCAGGUUAUGCAUUUCUUCCUUUUCUAUAUAUACCAAAAUUGAAUUUUCUUAUGCUUUAUAUUACUUGAUCUUAUGCAUGCAGCAGCUGUUUUCUGCAGCUACUUGAGCUUGUAUAUAUAUAAUAAUUGGCAUGCUUUCCUUUGAUCUUUAUGCCCUUUCCUCACUAUCAUUGAGCUACUCUCUGUUUAGCUUGUUACAUUAUGCGAUAAUCAUCUGAAAAGCGAACUUUUUUCUAAUUUUGUUCCUUUGAUUAAGGAAUUUGGUUAGUUCAAGUCCCAAAUGAUGAUUGGAUCUAAAAAGAAAGACAUCUAUAUAUGUCUCAUGAUUGAGCUGAACUGGCCUCAACUUAGGUUCACAACUUCAGGUACCUCAUCAUAGAUAAGAUAAUAUAUAUUUCUUUUUGUGCCAAUUUUCCUUUUUAUAUUGGUUCAGUUUGAUAUAAUUCUGAUGAACCCAAAUAAGGUAAUAUGCAUGACAGCUGGCAUAUUCAACGAUAUCAACAGUACUAUAAAUAUAAUACUGGACAAUUCCCUUUUAUUUUUAUUAACAAUUAAUAAAUACCACGAUCAACGUACUAUACACAGUCAGCAUUAUGUCCCACAACUCAAUUUAUAUAUGUAGUGUAAUCACGUCUUCAAAAAGUUCUGAAUAAAUGAUUGAUGAUGACAAGCCAAUAUUGCCAGGCAAAAUUAAUAGUGAAAAUAUAUCCAUCAAUUCAAUUAGUCAUGGUUUCUAAAAGGUGAGCUUUAAAAUACUAUAAUAUUAUGUUAGCCCCUGUCAUAGAGUUAAAAGUUAAAAUAAUAACUAGUUACGAUUAGGAUUUUUUUUAGUUCUACUUAGAGGAAGACCAACACAAGGAUACCCAAGAGGGACGCUAUACAUUAUAGAUCCCCCCCCCCCCCCAACCUUACCGGCUAAAACUACUCAUCUAUAUAGGGUGAGCCAUCCUUUUUUCAUUAUAUUUGUCACAUAUGUGGAGACUGUAGCAAGCCAACCCAAGCCAAAGCAACCUUGUAGAGGCAACUAGCUAGAGCACACGAAAGAAUUCUUUAGCACUGGUGAUGGAGCUAGUUCGCGAGUUGGUCGAGCAGUAGCCCUAGCUCCGAUCCACCGCUACGUUCACACUAUUCUGUUGUUAGCAACACAUGUAAAAAUUGUAGAUCACUAACAAACACUGUUCGUCACCUGGGCUCGACAAUGCCACUGACUCUGCCACUAGUUAGCACUUGUACAUGGUAGAAACCAAAUGUCCAAAAGGUUCAAGGGAUUGUGACUAUGGAUAAGUGUCAAUUGUGGUUAGAGGAAAUUUCGAAUGCCUUGGUCAAAUGUUAUCUCUUGUUGUGGUCAUCAUUAUUAUUUUGGUUAUCUAAAGAAGCCAUCUACUCCUAUGUAUCUAUAUGUCUAGAUCUUGUUCAUUUUUGUCAUAUCUCAAGAUAUUGGAUCAACCUAAGAGGUUAUUGAGAUAUCAUAAUAUAACAAAUGAUAUCAGAGCCAAGGCCAUAUUGAUCUGAUUUGUGAGAUGGUCGACAUAACAUUAGUAACAUAAUAAAUCAAAGUGAUACCUUUGAGGUUUCAGCGUGUGGAAACAGUAAAUAACCAACGGGGAUUGACCGUCACUAUAUAUGGUGAGAAACCAUACAAGACAACCAUUGAAGACAUAGUGGUGGUGAAGUGAAAAGUAAUUCGUAAAUUUUCUUAGUUUCUUGGUUGAGCUGAAGUACUUAUUGGUAACAAAGGAGAGAGGAUUUAAUGAAUAAAGUGUAUGUUCAAAUCUUGCUAAUAAACCGAUGUGCUCUAAAGCGACAAAUCUGUUUCAAUUGUACAUGGAGUAAAGCACAUCUUUGCAUCAUCUCAAUGUCUUCAAUAAACUUUACACAUAGCUACGAAGGUUGCAUGAGAAAAUUCGAUGAUAAAGACAAGGGAAUGCUAUCUUCUGAUGAGAAAGGCGACAGGAUACAUAAUAGUGCAAGUUUAAAGCAAUGAAGGGUGCAACCUCAAUGGUGAUGCAAAAAGAUCGGCAUGGUGUAUUGCAUCAUUAUUCAUUCAGAUUGUCGUUGGGAGCUAGCUAGCGUGGCCACCCUAAAAUGAUUGUUGCUGCAGCCUUGCCACACGUACAGUACCACAAGUCAAUAAACACAUCCUUCCACCCCUACCUUCCUAUCAAGGAUGUGGCAGAAACCAGAAAGCUACGUAGCACUCGAAUUGCAUCAUUGCAUCACACCACACUGCACCACGCCUAAGUGCGGUGUAUCCUGCAAGCUAGGUGGCUUCUGGUCGAUCAGAUAUAUUGAUCUUGACAUGAAAUGCAUGUCUAGCUAGUAGCUAGCUCGAUCAAUCCACACGAUUGUAUGGGGAUCCCCUUGUCGGGACGACACAUUAAUUUGGGUCCUGUUUCCGACAGGUCGUCCACUAA
Molecule: non-coding RNA, 3367 nt
Organism: Oryza sativa Japonica Group (Japanese rice)
Lineage: Eukaryota; Viridiplantae; Streptophyta; Magnoliopsida; Poales; Poaceae
Source: RefSeq, a predicted model, not a curated record